GUAGGUGGCAAGCGUUGUCCGGAAUUAUUGGGCGUAAAGCGCGCGCAGGCGGUUCUUUAAGUCUGAUGUGAAAGCCCACGGCUCAACCGUGGGAGGGUCAUUGGAAACUGGAGAACUUGAGUACAGAAGAGGAAAGCGGAAUUCCACGUGUAGCGGUGAAAUGCGUAGAGAUGUGGAGGAACACCAGUGGCGAAGGCGGCUUUCUGGUCUGUAACUGACGCUGAGGCGCGAAAGCGUGGGGAGCAAACAGGAUUAGAUACCCUGGUAGUCCACGCCGUAAACGAUGAGUGCUAAGUGUUAGGGGGUUUCCGCCCCCCUUAGUGCUGCAGCUAACGCAUUAAGCACUCCGCCUGGGAGUACGGCCGCAAGGCUG
This 373-nucleotide ribosomal RNA is filed under the name uncultured organism. RNAcentral describes it as "partial 16S ribosomal RNA". It matches the Rfam family "Bacterial small subunit ribosomal RNA", at positions 527 to 896 of the family's 1533-position model. The record is from RNAcentral.